This 1000-nucleotide ribosomal RNA is filed under the name uncultured bacterium. RNAcentral's name for it is "bacterial SSU rRNA". It matches the Rfam family "Bacterial small subunit ribosomal RNA", at positions 356 to 1376 of the family's 1533-position model. The record is from RNAcentral.
GGGGAAUAUUGCACAAUGGGGGGAACCCUGAUGCAGCGACGCCGCGUGAGUGAAGAAGUAUUUCGGUAUGUAAAGCUCUAUCAGCAGGGAAGAAAAUGACGGUACCUGACUAAGAAGCCCCGGCUAACUACGUGCCAGCAGCCGCGGUAAUACGUAGGGGGCAAGCGUUAUCCGGAAUUACUGGGUGUAAAGGGUGCGUAGGUGGUAUGGCAAGUCAGAAGUGAAAACCCAGGGCUUAACUCUGGGACUGCUUUUGAAACUGUCAGACUGGAGUGCAGGAGAGGUAAGCGGAAUUCCUAGUGUAGCGGUGAAAUGCGUAGAUAUUAGGAGGAACAUCAGUGGCGAAGGCGGCUUACUGGACGGUAACUGACGUUGAGGCUCGAAAGCGUGGGGAGCAAACAGGAUUAGAUACCCUGGUAGUCCACACCGUAAACGAUGAUUACUAGGUGUUGGGAGAUUGACCCUCUCAGUGCCGCAGUUAACACAAUAAGUAAUCCACCUGGGGAGUACGACCGCAAGGUUGAAACUCAAAGGAAUUGACGGGGGCCCGCACAAGCAGUGGAGUAUGUGGUUUAAUUCGACGCAACGCGAAGAACCUUACCAAGUCUUGACAUCCUGCGACGGACAUAGAAAUAUGUUUUUCCUUCGGGACGCAGAGACAGGUGGUGCAUGGUUGUCGUCAGCUCGUGUCGUGAGAUGUUGGGUUAAGUCCCGCAACGAGCGCAACCCUUAUCCUUAGUAGCCAGCAGUUCGGCUGGGCACUCUAGGGAGACUGCCAGGGAUAACCUGGAGGAAGGUGGGGAUGACGUCAAAUCAUCAUGCCCCUUAUGACUUGGGCUACACACGUGCUACAAUGGCGUAAACAAAGGGAAGCGAGAUCGUGAGAUGGAGCAAAUCCCAAAAAUAACGUCCCAGUUCGGACUGUAGUCUGCAACCCGACUACACGAAGCUGGAAUCGCUAGUAAUCGCGGAUCAGAAUGCCGCGGUGAAUACGUUCCCG